RNAcentral lists this transfer RNA (65 nucleotides) under Dipodomys ordii (Ord's kangaroo rat). It matches the Rfam family "tRNA". Rfam says of the family: Transfer RNA (tRNA) molecules are approximately 80 nucleotides in length. Their secondary structure includes four short double-helical elements and three loops (D, anti-codon, and T loops). The record is from Rfam by way of RNAcentral. Lineage: Eukaryota; Metazoa; Chordata; Mammalia; Rodentia; Heteromyidae.
GGUGGCUCAGUGGUAGAGCGCUUGCCUUGCAUGCAAAAGGUCCUGAGUUUGAUUCCUAAGCACCA